RNAcentral lists this long non-coding RNA (1630 nucleotides) under Fukomys damarensis (Damara mole-rat). RNAcentral's name for it is "lncRNA (ENSFDAG00000023549.1)". Lineage: Eukaryota; Metazoa; Chordata; Mammalia; Rodentia; Bathyergidae. The record is from RNAcentral.
GCCCAGCUUUGGCCUCAGCCCCAGAGCGAAGUCUGGAAUAUACAGCGUCCUAGCUUAAUAGAAGGCUCCCUUUUUCCUCCACCCCUAGGAGGAGAUCAAGAAUGCAGCAGAGCUUAAAAGGAACCAUGAACUAGAUUCCCUUUGAGAUUGCUGUCUUCACCUGGCAACAGGGAGCCCCAGCAGAGCUUAGGGAGAAGGGAAGUGACACGUUGGAAUCCAUUUUGCUCAAGAUGCUGAAAAUAUCGUGGCAAACUCCCUUUUCCUUCUGAGGCCAAACAACUUGGGGAAGAACCUUACCCAAGGGCUGCAGUUGGUUGGGAGGAAGGCGAGGGUCAACUCUGGAGCCGGUGAUACCUGAGAGCCGACAGGUGCGCGCGGGUAGCCCUCAGGACCCACCCACAAGGAAAUGCUGGGCUAGCAGUGGGUGCUGGCGCUGCUUUCUGCAGAUGGGACCCAAGUUCACUGGCGAGCAGCAGCAGCGAUCGCCAGGCCAGCUGGGUCGCCUUCUAUCUUCCAGCCAUUUAAAGGCGAGACUUAGGAUGGAUAAGAGGACAGGGAGAGAGAUGACUACGGCCUUCUCUCGAAAGUCACACUUUUCCCAAAGCGCCUCCCUCUCAGGUUCUCCGCUCCAGAGCGACACGUUUAGAGCAGAGAAGUCCGCACCGCGGGUGCGCGCCGCAGAGAUAUUGAGUUUGGCCAGAAAGGAAGCUCCAGUAAAGUUGCAGCCUAUAAAGAUGGAACAGAGGAGAAAGUGGUUGCUGAAAAGACCAGCAAGAAAAAAAAAAACCCAAGAUUUUCAGAAGACAAUAGACAAGAUGGACUGAGGUGCAGCCUAUAAAGAUGGAACAGAGGAGAAAGUGGUUGCUGAAAAGACCAGCAAGAAAAAAAAAACCCAAGAUUUUCAGAAGACAAUAGACAAGAUGGACUGAGUACAUCAUAAGAACCAACAGGAGGACCCCAGCUCUGGGAGCCUCAGAAUUGCAAAAGUGAAAGACUUUGCUUUGAGAAGAAAGCCCCAGAGCACCAUGUUCCAGAAUGAUGGCAGCCUAGAGAAUCUGUUCCUACAGCCAAGAGAGAAGGGAGCCUGGCCCCUGAUCCAGCUGGCAGUAGAUCCUGGUGUCAUCCACGUGGUGCUGGUUUUAGGUGUAUGCAGAAUGCGAGAGUUGUGAGGUGAGGAAAGCUUCCAUCCAGAUUUCUGAAGGGUGGCAGGCCAGGCAGGGCGCCCCUGAGAGGGCAGUGUAAAAAGCUUGAGUGCAAAGUCGAAGGUACAGCAGAGACCCCAGAAAUUUGGAGAAGUGAGGAGUGUGGAUAUCUGAGGAAAAAUGCAAGGAGGGAGCAGAGCUGGCCCCAAAGAGGAGCUGUGGGAACUACACCAUCGGGUAGUGCCGCAGGGGUGGAGCCACCCAAGCCCUUUGGCGUUCACAUCUUGUCAUAGAUUGCCUGGGAUUGCAGGACUUAAUGUUUGCCCUGCUGGAUUUUGGAAUUGCUUUGCUCUCAUUCCUUUCUAUCCCUCUGUUUGUACCUUUUGGAAUGGAAAUGUCUAUCUUGUGCUAUUGGAUGUUGCGAGUGUUUAACUCUCUUUUCAUCUGAACAGGGUCUUGCAGCUAAGAGUAUGCCUUAAAUCUCAGAG